CGAACGCUGGCGGCGUGCUUAACACAUGCAAGUCGAACGCGAAAGAGUUCUUCGGAACUUGAGUAGAGUGGCGCACGGGUGAGUAACGCGUAAGUAAUCUACCCUGAUAUCUGGGAUAACCCACCGAAAGGUGUGCUAAUACCGGAUACGCUGAUUUAUCAGGAAAGGUGGCCUCUUCAUGAAAGCUACUGUAUCAGGAGGAGCUUGCGUACCAUUAGCUAGUUGGUAGGGUAAUGGCCUACCAAGGCAACGAUGGUUAGCGGGUCUGAGAGGAUGAUCCGCCACACUGGAACUGAAACACGGACCAGACUCCUACGGGAGGCAGCAGUGAGGAAUAUUGCGCAAUGGGGGAAACCCUGACGCAGCGACGCCGCGUGGAUGAUGAAGGCCUUCGGGUCGUAAAAUCCUGUCAGGUGGAAAGAAAUGUAUGGCGGUUAAUACCUGCCAUAUUUGACGGUACCACCAAAGGAAGCACCGGCUAACUCC
Molecule: ribosomal RNA, 486 nt
Filed under: uncultured bacterium
Lineage: Bacteria
Description: bacterial SSU rRNA
Rfam family: Bacterial small subunit ribosomal RNA
Source: RNAcentral